UACGGAGGGUGCGAGCGUUGUCCGGAAUCAUUGGGCGUAAAGCGCGUGUAGGCGGCCAGAAAAGUCCGCUGUGAAAACUCGAGGCUCAACUUCGAGCUGUCGGUGGAAACUUUCUGGCUAGAGUCCGGAAGAGGAGAAUGGAAUUCCUGGUGUAGCGGUGAAAUGCGCAGAUAUCAGGAAGAACACCCGUGGCGAAGGCGGCUCUCUGGGACGGUACUGACGCUGAGACGCGAAAGCGUGGGGAGCGAACAGG
Molecule: ribosomal RNA, 253 nt
Filed under: uncultured bacterium
Lineage: Bacteria
Description: partial 16S ribosomal RNA
Rfam family: Bacterial small subunit ribosomal RNA
Source: RNAcentral